Non-coding RNA from Candidatus Rokubacteria bacterium GWC2_70_16, 72 nucleotides. Lineage: Bacteria; Candidatus Rokuibacteriota. The record is from Rfam.
AGGCUCGUAGCUCAGUGGGAGAGCGCUUGCUUGACACGCAAGAGGUCGGCGGUUCGAAACCGCCCGAGCCUA